This 324-nucleotide unclassified non-coding RNA is filed under the name Hevea brasiliensis (rubber tree). Lineage: Eukaryota; Viridiplantae; Streptophyta; Magnoliopsida; Malpighiales; Euphorbiaceae. The record is from RNAcentral.
AGUAUCCAGAAAAUUCAUCAAGUGAUCUCCACAAAAAGCGUUUGGAUGUGAUACGUACCUUGAUGGAGACCUCACAAACCGAAACAAGUACAAAUAGUAGUGCUAAGGAAACUGUCAGACCAGUGGCGGGUGACUCAAAUCACAUGAUCAGACCUCCAAGUUCAGACAACAUGGUUUCACAGUCUAAUGCUUCUCAAAUGUUGCAUGAGAUGACAAGGUUUUGAUGGUCCCUGGAGUUCUUGGUGUAUCUCCCGUGUUACCUGUACAGACCUUGAUGAUCAAGAAAUGGGAGGCAUAGGUUAUAUAGGUGUAGCAUAAUGGAAG